Long non-coding RNA from Oncorhynchus tshawytscha (Chinook salmon), 595 nucleotides. The record is from Ensembl. NCBI's taxonomy places the organism in Eukaryota, Metazoa, Chordata, Actinopteri, Salmoniformes, Salmonidae.
CUCGUCCUUCAACAGUGGGUUACACUGUGUCUGGUCCUUCAACAGUGGGAUACACUGUGUCUCGUCCUUCAACAGUGGGUUACACUGUGUCUCGUCCUUCAACAGUAGGUUACACUGUGUCUCGUCCCUCAACAGUAGGUUACACUGUGUCUCGUCCAUCAACAGUAGGUUACACUGUGUCUCGUCUCUCAACAGUAGGUUACACUGUGUCUCGUCCCUCAACAGUGGGUUACACUGUGUCUCGUCCUUCAACAGUAGGUUACACUGUGUCUCGUCCUUCAACAGUAGGUUACACUGUGUAUCGUCCCUCAACAGUAGGUUACACUGUGUCUCGUCCAUCAACAGUAGGUUACACUGUGUCUCGUCCAUCAACAGUAGGUUACACUGUGUCUCGUCCCUCAACAGUAGGUUACACUGUGUCUCGUCCCUCAACAGUAGGUUACACUGUGCCUAGUCCUUCAACAGUAGGUUACACUGUGUCUCGUCCCUCAACAGUAGGUUACACUGUGCCUAGUCCUUCAACAGUAGGUUACACUGUGUCUCGUCCCUCAACAGUAGGUUACACUGUGUCUCGUCCCUCAACAGUAGGUUACAC